Molecule: long non-coding RNA, 1170 nt
Organism: Scylla paramamosain (green mud crab)
Lineage: Eukaryota; Metazoa; Arthropoda; Malacostraca; Decapoda; Portunidae
Exons: 5
Source: RefSeq, a predicted model, not a curated record
AGUAAUUGACGAACACAACACACCACGUGGAGAGAAGCAAGGUGUGGAGUACCCAAGCCUCUCACAGUCCAUGCUAGUAGACUCACCCUGCAUGUGGAGAUCUCCCAAAAUGCACGGAGGUUAUUCCAGAGCUGCAGGACAGAGUACUUGAGGCCAUUGGUGAACAGAAAGCUGAGGUUGAACAAAGCCAAGAAUUGAUAGCUGCCCAAGGUGUAAGCAAGAUUCACAAUGAUGAGGUCAUUGUGACGUGUGCAAUGUGUCCACUGGUCUUGGCCUUCCUGACCAAGGCAGCCACACAAAGGAAAUUCCACGUUAUUGUUGCCGAACGUGCCCCUAAAUAUGAUGGUCACCCAGUGGCAAAAGCUUUAUGUACUGCUGGAAUUGAGACAACAUUAAUUCAAGACUCUGCAGUGUUCCCCAUCAUGUCACGUGUCAACAAGGUCAUCAAAGGUCAUCGUUGGCACCGAGACGGUGGUGACCAACGGAGGCAUUGAGACCUUUGUUGGUGCAGCCUCUCUUGCCUCACCACCAAAGUUUUAUUCUGUUCCACUGUAUGUGUGCACUCCCACAUACAAAUUUAGCUUGAUGGGCUGUGAAGAAAUAAGCCACCAAACCACCACUUCUAUUAUCCCAGAGGGAACAAAGUUUUGGCUGUCUCUAAAUACUGCGCUGACUCAGCUAGAUUACGUUCCUCCAGAAAAUGUCACCAGUUUGAUAAAUAACAAUCGAGGUACUGCACCAUCCUACGUGUACCGGCAGCUUAGCGAACUGUACCGUCCCACUUCUUGUGUAACAAGAAGGUAACAGCUUUAAUCCUUGCAAAUAAGGAAUAAGAGAAAAGAGACACACCUGCCAUUUGUACUGUUAUGCUGUAGUGUUCUGUCAUUUUUUUCCUCUUUUAUCCUAGAACCAUUUUUGGUCAUUCAUGUUUCUAAAAAUUAUUAUACAAAAAUGUUGAGCUUAAUAUGUUUGGUGUAGUUUUUUGUAACAUGUGUUAUUGUUAAUGUGUGUGGUUCCCCUCAGGAAGAAUGUUGCAGUAUUAGCAGUAAUGUUACAGCCAAUGGAAGUGUCUGUAUUGUGGUUUGGUGGGAGGUUAAUUUGAUGUAUUUUUAGAGUUGUGCAGGAUAUUAUAGCAAGCCCUCAAAAUAAAGAAAAUAACUAUAGAAAACA